UCUGAUAUGGCGACACUCGUCUUAAGGAGCUAGAAGAUAAAGCACAGGAACUGUAUUUUGCAACAGAAAAUACCUUGGUGUUGGUGGAAAAGCUAGGCAAACUUGUUGCUAUAUAUAUGGGGGGCACUUUUCCAGUGGAGCAAGGUGAUCUGCACGUGCGCUGGAAAUUGGUUAGCCAGAGAUUGAGGGAUUUUCAGAAAUGCAUUGUGCUUCCCAUUGGCAGCCUCUCUACAGGACUGUGUAGGCAUCGCGCUAUUCUUUUCAAGAAAUUGGCAGACUACAUAGGUCUGCCUUGCCGAAUAGCUCGAGGUUGAAAGUACUGUGUUGCAGACCAUCG
Camellia sinensis is the source of this 337-nucleotide non-coding RNA. The record is from RefSeq and is a predicted model, not a curated record. Lineage: Eukaryota; Viridiplantae; Streptophyta; Magnoliopsida; Ericales; Theaceae.